Molecule: ribosomal RNA, 253 nt
Filed under: uncultured bacterium
Lineage: Bacteria
Description: partial 16S ribosomal RNA
Rfam family: Bacterial small subunit ribosomal RNA
Source: RNAcentral
UACGAGGGUGGCAAGCGUUGUUCGGAAUUAUUGGGCGUAAAGGGCGCGUAGGCGGUUUGGCAAGUCUGAUGUGAAAUCUAUGGGCUCAACUCAUAGCCUGCAUUCGAAACUGUCGGGCUUGAGUAUGGGAGAGGAGAGUGGAAUUUCCGGUGUAGCGGUGAAAUGCGUAGAUAUCGGAAGGAAGACCUGUGGCGAAAGCGGCUCACUGGACCAUAACUGACGCUGAGGCGCGAAGGCUAGGGGAGCAAACAGG